RNAcentral lists this ribosomal RNA (253 nucleotides) under uncultured bacterium. RNAcentral describes it as "partial 16S ribosomal RNA". It matches the Rfam family "Bacterial small subunit ribosomal RNA", at positions 524 to 776 of the family's 1533-position model. The record is from RNAcentral.
UACGUAGGGUCCGAGCGUUGCUCGGAAUUACUGGGCGUAAAGGGCGCGUAGGCGGGAUGGCAAGUCGGUCGUGAAAUCCCUCGGCUCAACCGAGGAACGUCGAUCGAUACUGCUGUUCUUGAGGAUUGCAGAGGAGACUGGAAUUCCCGGUGUAGCGGUGAAAUGUGUAGAGAUCGGGAGGAACACCGGUGGCGAAGGCGGGUCUCUGGGCAAUUCCUGACGCUGAGGCGCGAAAGCGUGGGGAGCAAACGGG